Molecule: ribosomal RNA, 253 nt
Filed under: uncultured bacterium
Lineage: Bacteria
Description: partial 16S ribosomal RNA
Rfam family: Bacterial small subunit ribosomal RNA
Source: RNAcentral
UACGGAGGAUGCGAGCGUUAUCCGGAUUUAUUGGGUUUAAAGGGUGCGUAGGUGGGGAAUUAAGUCAGUGGUGAAAGUUUGUCGCUCAACGAUAAAAUUGCUAUUGAAACUGGAGAACUUGAGUAUGUUUGAGGUAGGCGGAAUGCGUGGUGUAGCGGUGAAAUGCAUAGAUAUCACGCAGAACUCCGAUUGCGAAGGCAGCUUACUAAACCAUAACUGACACUGAAGCACGAAAGCGUGGGUAUCAAGCAGG